This 377-nucleotide unclassified non-coding RNA is filed under the name uncultured Oligoflexaceae bacterium. RNAcentral describes it as "contains 16S-23S intergenic spacer region". Lineage: Bacteria; Pseudomonadati; Bdellovibrionota; Oligoflexia; Oligoflexales; Oligoflexaceae. The record is from RNAcentral.
UCCGGUUUAACACCGGCAGUCUCCUCAGAGUGCCCAACUUAAUGCUGGCAACUAAGGACAAGGGUUGCGCUCGUUGCGGGACUUAACCCAACAUCUUACGACACGAGCUGACGACAGCCAUGCAGCACCUAUCUCCAUGUCCCCGAAGGGAAAGCCGCAUCUCUGCGGUUGUCAUGGGAUGUUAAGCCCAGGUAAGGUUCUGCGCGUUGCUUCGAAUUAAACCACAUACUCCACCGCUUGUGCGGGCCCCCGUCAAUUCCUUUGAGUUUUAGUCUUGCGACCGUACUCCCCAGGCGGGAUACUUAAUGCGUGAGCUACGGUACCCAGGAGGUUAACAUCCCGGACACCUAGUAUCCAUAGUUUACGGCGUGGACUAC